CCAAUGCUCUUAAUUUUCUCUGUAAACAAGCACUGGACGGACAUUUUUGAACGUUGCACCGUGUUUAUGACGCCAUGUCAAGUUUAAAAUAAUAGUGUGUCUUUAGCGGAUUGCCACGUUUUCUCACGAUAAAUCUGAGCUACGGUGUGAAAAUAUGGGCAAUGAAUCUGCAUGUUAACCCGGCUAACCUAUCUACAAAGCUCUGCUCAUGAGCUGUUUGGACUCUCAUUCUGAUGGCACCCAUUCACUGCAGCAGGCAGAUUCACUGAGCAAGUGAUGUAAUGACAAAUUUCCCCAAAUCAGUUCAGAUGAAAAAAAAAACAACCUCCUCUACAUCUUGGAUGGCCUGAGGAAAUUUUCUAACUUACCACGGAUGUUCCUGAGGGAUUUUAUCACGCAUUGACUACAAGAGAAUGCAAAUGGCAUACACAGGCAUGAAUCUGGGAC
This is a long non-coding RNA of Cyprinus carpio carpio, 447 nucleotides long. The record is from Ensembl. Lineage: Eukaryota; Metazoa; Chordata; Actinopteri; Cypriniformes; Cyprinidae.